AGAAGUUGGAGCAGCUGGGGCCAAUUUUUAAAUUUAAAACUAACAGCAAUUUGGCUGUCUGACGUGGAACUGAAGAGUGACUUUUCUUUAACAUUGUCAUCACCGCAAUGUCCAACCUGCUCUGUUCCAGAUGUGCAACAUCUGGGCUUUGAAGAGUGUGAUUAGGAAAUCAAACAGGACAUGCGGACAUCCAAAAUGAGAUAAGAGUCUCCAACAGAUUACUUUCCUUUCUUACGUAGUUUCUUUCAUCUGAUUCUGUCAAAGUUUGCUGGAAAUCUCUAUCUGGAAAGCAGAAUUUCUCCUCCUUUACAAGCAAGGCAGGAAAGGCUUGUGACUGCACCUGCCAACAGAGACUGAAUGCCUAACCAUGGGACACCAAAUGACUAUGUGGCUUGAGCUUCCCAUCAUGAAUUGGAUGUUGUCUGACCCACCAGCUACAAGAUUGGGUGUAUACAGCACAAUCUAUCUUCAAGUGGAAAUGACAUAUCAGAGACUGAGCUUGGAUGGGUUUGGAAGGUGACAGAAAUCCAACUUGAACAAACCUGAGGAAAAAAAAAAUUCUGCGUGGAAUUUGCUGUAUCGAUGUGAGGGUUACUUCACAUACUCUGAGGGCAAGAAUGUGGGUAAGCCUCAGGAACAUUGUCCCAAACAUCUGUGGCCAGACAGAACUCAUGCUACACUAACAUGGUGGUUCUCACACUGCUGAUGAAGUCUGGCCUGGGCAGGGCGAAGAGGGGGCUGAGGCGGCAAUUCCCAGAAGAGGUAUGCUCUUAGCAGACACACACAAAAAAUGUUUACUGAAGUUAAUAGUGAUUUUGAAAUUAAUUAUAAUGUAUAUGCCACUUACUUACAAAAUGAUUCAAUGAAGUUAAUAAUAAUAAUAGUAAUAGUAUUUUAUUUUAUAAGACUAUACACAUGAUCUCAUUGUAAAUAGCAACUACUCCAUGCAGUCAGUUGGCAGGUGUGUCCGCUCCCAUUUUAUAGGUGAGGAAACCCAUGUGCAGAUUGCUUACACAGUUUGCCCAAGGACAUACAGCUGGUAAGUUAUGGAGAUGGACCUCAAGCCUUUUCCACCACAUCUUCCUUCUAGAGACUUCGAUUCUUAAAAUAAAUCAACUUUGUUGUUCCAUUCUUCCCAUUUAUUUGAAGGAAACGACAUUCUGGAUUAAUUUUAAGUAAAAGAAUCAGACUUGAGCAGCUGAUCACUGAUGGAGCUGUAGUGUUUCCAUUUCUCUUUUGGUUGGGAGAAAGGCUAUUCUUCAUGUUCUGUUUUCUUUUGAUUUCUUAUUAGCAUCUCUGUUUCCUUCUACACUUUUCAGUAUUCAAGCCAGGUGCCAAUUGUCUGAGUGAAGACACACCAUUUCUCAAAUAUACCAAGAUGCCAAAUGUAUGUGUAAUAUUUGACCAUAUGAGAAGAGUCCAGUAAGCUCCUAGGGACUUAUGUUCCAGUGUGGCAGCACUGAACAACAGGAAAAUUAUAAAUUUCAUAAGCUAACCAAAAAAGUCAUACGUGCUUCAUAUUUAUAAAUAUCCAAUAGAUGUAAUAUAUUCUAAAUUUGACUUUUUAGUACAAUAGAGGUAUUACAUGUUCUCUCUAUGAAGACAGUGAUAGCUUACAAAAAUACAAAUUGAUGGAAUGUCCUCAGUUUAUUGCUGUCAUUAUUGAUCAUAGCAAUUGGUCAUUGUGGAGAAACCUGUAAGCAAGGAUAUUUCUCAAGAUGGAUUCUGAAAGAAAAGAAGAAAAGAAUGUGUAAGUAGUAGGUAACAGAUAUGUUAAAAAAAAAAAAAAAAACGAAAAGAAAAGAAAAGGAAAAAGAGGUUGAACUACCUAUACUAACUGUGCCAGGAAAAUUCUCCCCAGGCUGGAUAGGAUGGGAUUAAAUCUUGGAACUUCAAGUAAAACAUUUUAAAGGACACAGGAUAGAGGUUAGAUUUUUGAGAGAUGUCUCCAUACUGUCCCUCCCCCCAUCCACAGUGUUCUGAGAUGCUGAGCUAAUCAUUAAAAAACAAAAACACAAAACAAAAUCACUUCAGGAGGAUUUAUCACAUGGAACACUUUAUUUUGGACCUGGUGAAAGUUAAGAAGGUGGACUAGGCCUUUGUCUUGAAGUCACUUGUGGUUUAGUACAUGGAAUCAAAAAAUCAUCAAAGUGCCUAACAAUGCAAGUCAGGAAGCAGAAGUGGUAGGCAUCACUUCUGUGGAGUGGCCUGGUAUUUGAAGAGAGGCUAAGACUAGCUUGUCUCUGAGGCAGCUAAAGGAUCUCUUGGAAAGAGGGCUCUUUAUUAAACUGUGUUCUCUUCUUCCAGCAACUAUUAACAGUCCUGAUGGUAAUAAAAAGAGCAAACAUUUAUCACAUGUUUACAUGCGUUAAGCACUUUAAUUCUUUUUCUCAGUUGGCUUUCUAAACAAUCCAGUGAGGAAGAUACCAUUCUUAUUCAUGUAUUACAGUGUGGGGAGUAGAGGUUUAGAUAAUAAAAUAACUUGCCAAGAUCAUGUAAUUGUAGGGUUAUAAAAUUGUUGAUUCCAUAGAAAAUUGCAUUUUCAUUCUAUAGAGAUUGGGGUAUGUUAACCAGUUUCUGAAGGAGGUUUACUUGGGCCACACAUGUUUCUCCUCAUCUCUGCCAAAGUAAGGCCUAUCUCUCUUGCAAAACUGUGGGACUGGCUCUAUCUCUAUCAUAAACUCUUCCUGAAACCCAGUCAACUCUCUUCCCACAGUGCCCUUAGAGCACUUAUGUCGGCCUUGUUUAUUUGGCGAUUGAUCAUGAACUACCCUAGCUAAGUCUCAUUUAUCUUACAAUAUUGUUUAACUCUGUUUAAUCUUUCCAUCCAGAUGAUAAAAUCCUUCAUGUUGGUAGCUUUGUCUUGGGGAUUAAAAAUAAGUCUUCAAUAGCAUCCACUGCAGCACACAUGAUAAUUUUUUGUUUUGAUAUUUACUUGAAUUAAAGUUGUAUUGGUUAUCUGUUGUGGCUUAAAACAACACACAUGUAUUAUCUUGCAAUUUCUGUGGGUCGGAAGUUGGGUGCGUCUUAACUGGGUCUUCUCCAAAAUUGCAAUUGAGGUGUCAGCUGAGGUUCACUUCUCAUCUGGAGGCUCAAGUGGUGAUGGAUCUGUCUCCAAGCUCAACUCAGAAGUUGGCAGAAGUCAUUUCCUUGUGGUUGUAAGACCACAAGGCUUCAUAUUCUAAUUGGCUAUCAGGUGGAGGCUGCUCUCAACUCCUAGAAGCUGCCCCCAAUUCCAUGCUAUGUGAUUUCCUCCCACAGGCCCUUUUCUGAAAUUGUCCUUUCCUUCAUCAAAGCCAGUAACUGAGAGUUUCUGGAGUUAGUCUGUUAUGGAUAGGGAGUCUAACAUAAUGUAUUAUAAUCGUGACAGUGACAUCCCAUCAUCUUUGCCACAGUCCAUUGAUUAGAAGCAAGUCAUAUGUCUUGCCCACUCCCAAUGGGAUAGAAUUAUAAAAGAACUUGAACAAUAAGUCAAAAUCACACGGGGACCGCCUGAGAGUCUAUCUAUCACAAUAGUGAAAAAAUCAGGAAAUUCACAAAUAUUAGAGACUUUAUCAAACUCACUUAGGAAAUUAACAAUAGUACUUGAAAUAGAAUUCAGAAACUCGGUUCUUAUCUUCUUAUGCUAACUACUAAAUCAUCAUCAACAGUAAUGAGAUGGCCUUGGCUACACAGCAACCUCUGGCUGGUAGAGAUGGAUCACAAGAAUGAGUAUAUCAACUAGAGGUGUGUGUUGAGGAAGAUAACUUCCAAUGAAUAGUCACUGUCCAAAGCAGAGUGGUCAACUUAAACUUGACUCUUGCUAGAGCUGAUAUAUAAGGCCAUCUGUCCAGGAGUAGGUGGCAAAGGCCUAGGUAUAUUAGGUUUGGGUUCAUUCAGUACCUCAGAGCGAGAAUUUGGAAAGGUCCAGGUAGUUUAUCAGGACCUUGGCCUAGAAGCGCAGGGACAUAGCCUAGCUGGGAAUUUAACACUAGCAGAAAGCUGAGAUGGAGCCACAGCUAUAAAGAAUGGAUGAACAUGUAGGUGGGGUUGAGGUCAGAUUGUGACUCAGUGGGCCCAUCUCUUACUCACAAGACUAGCAUUAGGCUACCUCUGUGGGCAGAGGGAAGGCUCCUAAUGUGCUUCCUAUGGAAGACCUCACUGAAGAAAAAGACUGAGAAUUAUCUCAAGAAAUCUAGGCUGUGAUCCAUAUUGGUUAAAUUUAUGGGAAGCAAUACAUAUUUACAUUUUGCUUUUCUGUGAAUGUAAGGCAGAUUUCCUUAAUUAUUUUUAACAAGAUUUCUCUUUUUCUAUCUUCUUUCUUCUUUCUCUAUUCUUUAAACACAUUAACUUUUAUCAAAAUCUCUAGCUUUCUAUAUGGUUAUUCUUUUCUUUUUUUAAUUGAAACUUAAUGAUAAAGAUAUAAUCCUAUCAAUGGAACAAACUGAAUCAGAAGUACUUUUCUGCAUAUUGCUUAUUACACAACUUCCUAUGCCUUUUAAAAUAACACAUGUUUUAUGGGGUCUUUCUCUUGUGACUCAUUUUUGGAGCUGAUCCGAGAAGGAGUUAUUCUCCAGACGUGGCACCAUUGACCCUCAUUUUGAAUUACAUUUUUUAUUUAUUUUUAAAAAGAUAUUUCAUUCAUAGAAUCCCCACUGAGCUUUUUAUUGUGGAAAAUUAGGGCCCGUAAAUCAUCCCCCUCAGAAAACUAUAAAUUUUAUACAAUUGAAACAUUCCAUGGACUGAGCUUGGCACUUUGAUGAAAUCACUCCUUUGCUUCUCAUAAUUUAUGAGCUUCCCCAUUCUCCUCCCUCUUGCUCCAUCAUCACCUUGCCCUCCCAGCAAGAGUAGGGGGUGGUAUCGUGCCUUUAAAUUGCUCACUGGGGUUUAUUGAGUAUAAUUUGUGAGUGGAUUUAUAUGAACUCACGAUAUUGCAACUUAUCCAAAACUAUGAACAAUAAAAUUUUUCAUUUUCUUUUGGCAGGCAGAAGGGACAUGGGUUGAUCACACAGGAGGUAACUCAGCAUGAUGCACUGGGGAAGAACAAAGUCCCUGGAGAUAAAUGAUAUAGGUUAGAACAGUCAUCUGCCCGUGGUUUCCUGUGAGACCCAGGCCUUAGUUUCCUUACCUAUAGGUUCAGUACUAGUCAUGGAACACGGUGCACUAAAGAAGUUACCAGACGCCAAAUGAGAUAAGAAGCGUCCUGUGAGCUGCAACAGACUUGAAGACUUCCAGUAAAUAGACAAGGGAGGCGAUGGCUUUGUCCAAGAAUCUUGUCCUUCAACCUUGACACCACUGAUUUUUUUUUUUUUCCAGAUGCUGCUGAUCAUAUAAAUAAACACUGGAACUUCCUGAUAAUAAUUUUUUUUUUCCUGAUGGAAUUUCUACCUCUAUUCAUACCUCAGAUAUUUAAUACAAUAGAAAUGAAAUGAUAUGCCUGAGUGGAUAACCUAGACUAUCUGAUAUUAAGAAAUAAAAGAUGUGUAAUUUGGUUACCUGGUCUAUACAUUGUGGCUAAGUCAUUUUGAUGUUUCAGGUAAUGUCUUCUUGUGUCUAGCCCUUUACUUUCAGAUAUAAUAAGUUAAAAUAUUUUUUUCUCUGCUCCCUGCACCACUGUCUCUCUUUUUCUCUUUCUCUUUUUUUAUUUUUUUUGGUUUGUUUUAUUUUGUGUUAGAUUUUCUCAAAUGUCUGGUGAACCUAGACUGUCCAUUUAUAAUGAUAAGUGAGGCACUAAAAAGAGAUUGGCAACAUGCUUCACAGAUUAACAAGGAAGUAAGUCAGAUUUCUCAUGGGAAGGGGUCUCAAAAAUGUCUGAAUUUUAGUUCUCUCUUGGGUCCAACAGUUUCUCUGGAGAGGCAUUUUAUACUGUCUGGGAGAAAUGAAGUUAAAUGCUAGUGAUCUCAGAGCUGAAUGUAGGCACAGAGUGCGGGAACCUCAGGGCUUAGU
Molecule: long non-coding RNA, 5925 nt
Organism: Pteropus alecto (black flying fox)
Lineage: Eukaryota; Metazoa; Chordata; Mammalia; Chiroptera; Pteropodidae
Exons: 4
Source: RefSeq, a predicted model, not a curated record